AUUGAACGCUGGCGGCAUGCCUUACACAUGCAAGUCGAACGGCAGCGCGGGGAGCUUGCUUCCUGGCGGCGAGUGGCGAACGGGUGAGUAAUACAUCGGAACGUGCCCUUUAGUGGGGGAUAGCUCGGCGAAAGCCGGAUUAAUACCGCAUAUGCUCUGAGGAGGAAAGCGGGGGACCUUCGGGCCUCGUGCUAGAGGAGCGGCCGAUGGCAGAUUAGCUAGUUGGUGGGGUAAAGGCCUACCAAGGCGACGAUCUGUAGCUGGUCUGAGAGGACGA
Molecule: ribosomal RNA, 277 nt
Filed under: uncultured bacterium
Lineage: Bacteria
Description: partial 16S ribosomal RNA
Rfam family: Bacterial small subunit ribosomal RNA
Source: RNAcentral